RNAcentral lists this ribosomal RNA (150 nucleotides) under uncultured Bacillota bacterium. RNAcentral's name for it is "uncultured Firmicutes bacterium partial 16S ribosomal RNA". It matches the Rfam family "Bacterial small subunit ribosomal RNA", at positions 360 to 525 of the family's 1533-position model. Lineage: Bacteria; Bacillati; Bacillota. The record is from RNAcentral.
AAUAUUGCACAAUGGGGGAAACCCUGAUGCAGCGACGCCGCGUGAGCGAAGAAGUAUUUCGGUAUGUAAAGCUCUAUCAGCAGGGAAGAAGAAAUGACGGUACCUGACUAAGAAGCACCGGCUAAAUACGUGCCAGCAGCCGCGGUAAUA